CCCCUCUCAGGGUCCCAUGUGGAGAGUUCCCAAUACUCUACCAGUCUAGACUACAGGAGGGAGAGUCAGGCAGGGGCAUAUCCAUUCCAUUCCUAGCUUGGCCAGUGGCUAGCGAGUGGAAGCCAAUCUGCUCCAAGU
RNAcentral lists this small nucleolar RNA (138 nucleotides) under Ornithorhynchus anatinus (platypus). Lineage: Eukaryota; Metazoa; Chordata; Mammalia; Monotremata; Ornithorhynchidae. The record is from RNAcentral.